RNAcentral lists this ribosomal RNA (397 nucleotides) under uncultured bacterium. RNAcentral describes it as "partial 16S ribosomal RNA". It matches the Rfam family "Bacterial small subunit ribosomal RNA", at positions 523 to 918 of the family's 1533-position model. The record is from RNAcentral.
AUACGUAGGGGGCGAGCGUUGUCCGGAAUGAUUGGGCGUAAAGGGCGCGUAGGCGGCCCGGUAAGUCUGGAGUGAAAGUCCUGUUUUUAAGAUGGGAAUUGCUUUGGAUACUGUCGGGCUUUAGUGCAGGAGAGGUAAGUGGAAUUCCCAGUGUAGCGGUGAAAUGCGUAGAGAUUGGGAGGAACACCAGUGGCGAAGGCGACUUACUGGACUGUAACUGACGCUGAGGCGCGAAAGUGUGGGGAGCAAACAGGAUUAGAUACCCUGGUAGUCCACACGGUAAACGAUGAAUGCUAGGUGUAGGGGGUAUUGACCCCUUCUGUGCCGCAGUCAACACAAUAAGCAUUCCGCCUGGGGAGUACGGCCGCAAGGUUGAAACUCAAAUGAAUUGACGGGG